This 605-nucleotide unclassified non-coding RNA is filed under the name Hevea brasiliensis (rubber tree). The record is from RNAcentral. Lineage: Eukaryota; Viridiplantae; Streptophyta; Magnoliopsida; Malpighiales; Euphorbiaceae.
GGAACUUGCUUUGCAAAAAGUGCUUUUGGUGGGCAGCCAACCAAACCUGAUUAUGACAAUAUACCUUGUGCAGUGUUCUGCAUACCUCCUCUCUCUGUAGUAGGACUCAGUGAACAACAGGCAGUAGAACAAGCUAAGAGUGAUAUUCUUGUUUUCACGUCAACCUUCAAUCCAAUGAAGAACACAAUCUCUGGAAGACAAGAAAAAACAAUGAUGAAGAUUGUUGUUGAUUCGGAAACUGAUAAAGUACUUGGUGCAUCCAUGUGCGGCCCAGACGCAGCUGAGAUUAUGCAGGGUAUCGCAGUUGCUCUUAAGUGCGGAGCUACUAAAGCACAAUUUGAUAGCACGGUGGGGAUCCAUCCAUCGGCAGCUGAAGAGUUCGUGACCAUGCGGACAUUGACAAGGAGUGUCGCUGCGGGUACCAAACCAAAGACAAAUUUAUAAAAUGUUUAUUAUCUUGAAAAGAAAAUAUGAUAUUGAAUUUGAUUGUUGUGCCAGUCUGUCUGCUAUACUAGUCUUAUUUAUAUAUCUCAAAUGUAAUAAUCUUUGAUGCUCAGACAAUGUGGAGAAAUACAGAGUGUUGAAUUAUAUCAAUAAUAAACAGC